This 1195-nucleotide ribosomal RNA is filed under the name Acinetobacter sp. RNAcentral's name for it is "bacterial SSU rRNA". It matches the Rfam family "Bacterial small subunit ribosomal RNA", at positions 40 to 1268 of the family's 1533-position model. Lineage: Bacteria; Pseudomonadati; Pseudomonadota; Gammaproteobacteria; Moraxellales; Moraxellaceae. The record is from RNAcentral.
CAAUGCGCAGCUUACACAUGCAAGUCGAGCGGAGUGAUGGUGCUUGCACUUAUCACUUUAGCGGCGGACGGGUGAGUAAUGCUUAGGAAUCUGCCUAUUAGUGGGGGACAACAUUUCGAAAGGAAUGCUAAUACCGCAUACGUCCUACGGGAGAAAGCAGGGGAUCUUCGGACCUUGCGCUAAUAGAUGAGCCUAAGUCGGAUUAGCUAGUUGGUGGGGUAAAGGCCUACCAAGGCGACGAUCUGUAGCGGGUCUGAGAGGAUGAUCCGCCACACUGGGACUGAGACACGGCCCAGACUCCUACGGGAGGCAGCAGUGGGGAAUAUUGGACAAUGGGCGCAAGCCUGAUCCAGCCAUGCCGCGUGUGUGAAGAAGGCCUUAUGGUUGUAAAGCACUUUAAGCGAGGAGGAGGCUACUGAAGUUAAUACCUUCAGAUAGUGGACGUUACUCGCAGAAUAAGCACCGGCUAACUCUGUGCCAGCAGCCGCGGUAAUACAGAGGGUGCAAGCGUUAAUCGGAUUUACUGGGCGUAAAGCGCGCGUAGGCGGCUAAUUAAGUCAAAUGUGAAAUCCCCGAGCUUAACUUGGGAAUUGCAUUCGAUACUGGUUAGCUAGAGUGUGGGAGAGGAUGGUAGAAUUCCAGGUGUAGCGGUGAAAUGCGUAGAGAUCUGGAGGAAUACCGAUGGCGAAGGCAGCCAUCUGGCCUAACACUGACGCUGAGGUGCGAAAGCAUGGGGAGCAAACAGGAUUAGAUACCCUGGUAGUCCAUGCCGUAAACGAUGUCUACUAGCCGUUGGGGCCUUUGAGGCUUUAGUGGCGCAGCUAACGCGAUAAGUAGACCGCCUGGGGAGUACGGUCGCAAGACUAAAACUCAAAUGAAUUGACGGGGGCCCGCACAAGCGGUGGAGCAUGGUGGUUUAAUUCGAUGCAACGCGAAGAACCUUACCUGGCCUGACAUAGUAGAACUUUCAGAGAUGGAUUGUGCCUUCGGACUACAUACAGUGCUGCAUGCUGUCGUCAGCUCGUGUCGUGAGAUGUGGUAGUCCCGCACCGAGCGCAUCCUUUCUAUUGCAGCGAGUAUGUCAGACUUAGAUACUGCAUGACAACUGAGAGCGGACGACGUCAGUCAUCAUGCUACGCAAGUCCUACACUGUCUCAAUGUCGGUUACAAGGGUGCUACCUCUAGCCGAUGUAGC